UUGUUGUGGUUAAAAGCUCGUAGUUGGAUCUCAGGGUCGUUCGCGUCGGUCCCUUGCUGCAAUGGCUCGGGCACUGCGCGGUGUCGUCCCCCUUGCCGGACCUCUCAAAAAGGUUGCUCUUAACCGAGUGGCCUGCUCGAGUGGCCGGAGAGUUUACUUUGAAAAAAUUAGAGUGUUCAAAGCAGGUACAGCCCGCCUGUAUAAUGGUGCAUGGAAUAAUGGAAUAGGACCCCGGAUCCUAUUUUGCUGGUUUUUGGAGCUCAGGGGUAAUGAUUAAGAGGAACAGGGCGGGGGCAUCCGUAUUGCGACGUUAGAGGUGAAAUUCUUGGAUCGUCGCAAGACGCACUACAGCGAAAGCAUUUGCCAAGUAUGUUUUCAUUAAUCAAGAACGAAAGUCAGAGGUUCGAAGACGAUCAGAUACCGUCGUAGUUCUGACCGUAAACUAUGCCAACUGGCAGCCCGUCGGCGUUGCUCUAUUCGACUCGGCGGGAGGCCUACCUGAAAAGAAAGUCUUCGGGUUCCAGGGGAAGUAUGGUUGCAAAGCUGAAACUUAAAGGAAUUGACGGAAGGGCACCACCAGGAGUGGAGCCUGCGGCUUAAUUUGACUCAACACGGGGAAACUCACCCGGUCCGGACACUGGAAGGAUUGACAGAUUAAAAGCUCUUUCUUGAUUCAGUGGGUGGUGGUGCAUGGCCGUUCUUAGUUGGUGGAGUGAUUUGUCUGGUUAAUUCCGAUAACGAACGAGACUCUAGCCUGCUAACUAGUUCGCCGGCAGCUCUUGUCGCGCGGCGCCGCUUCGGCGGCAAACUUCUUAAAGGGACAGGUGGCGUUUAGCCACACGAAGUAGAGCAAUAACAGGUCUGUGAUGCCCUUAGAUGUCCGGGGCCGCACGCGCGCUACACUGAAAGAAUCAACGUGAUGCCCACCUGCUCC
This 934-nucleotide ribosomal RNA is filed under the name Gastropoda environmental sample. Its description in RNAcentral is "SSU rRNA". It matches the Rfam family "Eukaryotic small subunit ribosomal RNA", at positions 610 to 1534 of the family's 1831-position model. Lineage: Eukaryota; Metazoa; Mollusca; Gastropoda. The record is from RNAcentral.